This 468-nucleotide ribosomal RNA is filed under the name uncultured bacterium. RNAcentral's name for it is "partial 16S ribosomal RNA". It matches the Rfam family "Bacterial small subunit ribosomal RNA", at positions 28 to 507 of the family's 1533-position model. The record is from RNAcentral.
GACGAACGCUGGCGGCGUGCUUAACACAUGCAAGUCGAACGGAAAGGCCCUGCUUUUGUGGGGUGCUCGAGUGGCGAACGGGUGAGUAACACGUGAGUAACCUGCCCUUGACUUUGGGAUAACUUCAGGAAACUGGGGCUAAUACCGGAUAGGAGCUCCUGCUGCAUGGUGGGGGUUGGAAAGUUUCGGCGGUUGGGGAUGGACUCGCGGCUUAUCAGCUUGUUGGUGGGGUAGUGGCUUACCAAGGCUUUGACGGGUAGCCGGCCUGAGAGGGUGACCGGCCACAUUGGGACUGAAAUACGACCCAGACUCCUACGGGAGGCAGCAGUGGAGAAUAUUGCACAAUGGGCGGAAGCCUGAUGCAGCAACGCCGCGUACGGGAUGACGGCCUUCGGGUUGUAAACCGCUUUCGCCUGUGACGAAGCGUGAGUGACGGUAAUGGGUAAAGAAGCACCGGCUAACUACGUG